Molecule: ribosomal RNA, 253 nt
Filed under: uncultured bacterium
Lineage: Bacteria
Description: partial 16S ribosomal RNA
Rfam family: Bacterial small subunit ribosomal RNA
Source: RNAcentral
UACGUAGGGGGCAAGCGUUAUCCGGAUUUACUGGGUGUAAAGGGAGCGUAGACGGAAUUGCAAGUCUGAUGUGAAAAUCCGGGGCCCAACCCCGGAACUGCAUUGGAAACUGUAUUUCUAGAGUGUCGGAGAGGCAAGUGGAAUUCCUGGUGUAGCGGUGAAAUGCGUAGAUAUCAGGAGGAACACCAGUGGCGAAGGCGGCUUACUGGACUGUAACUGACGUUGAGGCUCGAAAGCGUGGGGAGCAAACAGG